This 253-nucleotide ribosomal RNA is filed under the name uncultured bacterium. RNAcentral describes it as "partial 16S ribosomal RNA". It matches the Rfam family "Bacterial small subunit ribosomal RNA", at positions 524 to 776 of the family's 1533-position model. The record is from RNAcentral.
UACAGAGGGGGCAAGCGUUAUUCGGAAUUACUGGGCGUAAAGCGCGUGUAGGCGGCCCUGCAAGUCGGAUGUGAAAUCCCACGGCUCAACCGUGGAAGUGCAUUCGAAACUGCAGGGCUAGAGUCCUGGAGAGGAAGGUGGAAUGCUUGGUGUAGAGGUGAAAUUCGUAGAUAUCAAGCGGAACACCGGUGGCGAAGGCGGCCUUCCGGACAGUGACUGACGCUGAGACGCGAAAGCGUAGGGAGCAAACAGG